AUGCGUGCGAACGCACCACAUUCCGGAACGGGAAGAAGGAGCUGUCUCUCUCUUCUGAGGGGUAGGCAGGUGCUUCCGAAUCGCGGAAUGUAGGUGCUCAUAAGCUGGAGACCCACGGAAAGAACCUAGAAGCUCCGAGCGGUUGCAGACAGCACUGCAUUGAGCCAACGACUCCUGCUCUACUGAUGGUGAUUCCACAGCUUUGUGAGGAAUAAGUUAAGAUGAAUUUCCCCUGGACUUCUUUCUCUCUCCUGCCGCCUUGUGAAGAAGGUGCCUGCCUCCCCUUCCACCACGAUUCUAAGUUUCCUGAAGUCUCCCCAGCCAUGCUGAACUGAUAAGGUCCAUCUUGGCAAAUGGUCUGUGUGCACAAGAAAGAAUGUGAAUUCUGCAGUUGUUGGAAUGUUAUCUUAUCUGGAAGAAGAGGAAUAGGAAAGAAAAGGAGUCAGGAAUGGAUCUUACUCAGAAGGCUGACUAGACACAGCCAGGUGGAAGAGCUCCCACUGCGGGACCAAGAUGACUGGAAUGCCCCUAACAGAUCUUCAGAGGGAAGAAACCAGGAGUGGACAGAGAGAAGACACAGAAGCUGGGCUGAAGGUAGUGAAAGCUGGGAAUGUGGCACAGGACUACUGCACACCAGGUUUUGUUCCUGGCCCACAAUGGCUCUGGGGGAUCAGCCGUGUAAGAUAUGCCUGCUUCCCCUUCACCUUCUGCUAUGAUUGGGAGUUUCCUGAGGCCUCCCCAGCCAUGCUUCCUGUACAGUCUGUGGAACCAUGAGCCAAUUAAACCUCUUUUCCUUAUAAA
RNAcentral lists this long non-coding RNA (801 nucleotides) under Homo sapiens (human). Its description in RNAcentral is "COP1 divergent transcript". Lineage: Eukaryota; Metazoa; Chordata; Mammalia; Primates; Hominidae. The record is from RNAcentral.